UACGAAGGUCCCGAGCGUUAUUCGGAAUCACUGGGCGUAAAGGGAGCGUAGGCUGCGCGGUAAGUCAGAUGUGAAAUCUCAGAGCUCAACUCUGAAACUGCAUCCGAUACUGCCGUGCUAGAGUAAUGGAGGGGUAAGUGGAAUUCUCGGUGUAGCAGUGAAAUGCGUAGAUAUCGGGAGGAAGACCAACGGCGAAGGCAGCUUACUGGACAUUUACUGACGCUGAGGCUCGAAGGCUAGGGUAGCGAAAGGG
This 253-nucleotide ribosomal RNA is filed under the name uncultured bacterium. Its description in RNAcentral is "partial 16S ribosomal RNA". It matches the Rfam family "Bacterial small subunit ribosomal RNA", at positions 524 to 776 of the family's 1533-position model. The record is from RNAcentral.